ACCUUAAAUCAACCGUAUAAACAAAAAAAGAAGCAAGAGACUUGAUAGUCCAAAUAUAUUAUUUUAUUUUAUCGAAUUUUGUUGUGCCUAAAUCUCAAAUUGGUGAAAAGGCAUUAGCCCCUAAAUAAAGUGUGACCUAAGGGUCGAAGAAAAAAAAUUCUAUUAUUUGUUUGUGUGUUCCUUAUAGACUCAGAAACGGAUGAACCGAAACGGAUGAAACGGAUUACCCUAAUUUUCAGAAACGCCAGAUCUCGGAGAUGGGUGGUGCGAUUUAAGAAAUUUUGUGUGCUCUCAUAUAGUACCCUAAAAAUAAAAAUUUGGUAUUCAAAUUUCGGAUUGGGUACCUAGGGGGGCUGCCCCACCCUAAAACCUACCAAA
Molecule: long non-coding RNA, 378 nt
Organism: Stomoxys calcitrans (stable fly)
Lineage: Eukaryota; Metazoa; Arthropoda; Insecta; Diptera; Muscidae
Exons: 2
Source: RefSeq, a predicted model, not a curated record